CCCUUAGAUGUUCUGGGCCGCACGCGCGCUACACUGACGAAGUCAGCGAGCAUGUCCUACGCCGACAGGUGCGGGGAAUCUUGUCAAACUUCGUCGUGAUGGGGAUUGAUUAUUGAAAUUCUUGAUCAUCAACGAGGAAUUCCUAGUAAGCGCAAGUCAGCAGCUUGCGUUGAUUACGUCCCUGCCCUUUGUACACACCGCCCGUCGCUACUACCGAUUGAAUGGUUUAGUGAGAUCUUCGGAUUGGCGCCACUGCGGCUCAGCAAUGGGCUCGGUGGAUGCCGAAAAGUUGAUCAAACUUGAUCAUUUAGAGGAAGUAAUAGUCGUAACA
This 331-nucleotide ribosomal RNA is filed under the name uncultured eukaryote. Its description in RNAcentral is "partial 18S ribosomal RNA". It matches the Rfam family "Eukaryotic small subunit ribosomal RNA", at positions 1470 to 1796 of the family's 1831-position model. The record is from RNAcentral.